GCCAGGCAUGGUGGGCGUGCCUGUAAUCCCAGCUACUUGGGAGGCUGAGGCAGGAGAAUUGCUUGAACUUGGGAGGCAGAGGUUGCAGUGAGCCAAGAUCGUGCCACUGCACUCCAGCCUGAGCGACAGAGCAAGACUCUGUCUCAA
Molecule: unclassified non-coding RNA, 147 nt
Organism: Pongo abelii (Sumatran orangutan)
Lineage: Eukaryota; Metazoa; Chordata; Mammalia; Primates; Hominidae
Rfam family: Metazoan signal recognition particle RNA
About the family: The signal recognition particle (SRP) is a universally conserved ribonucleoprotein. It is involved in the co-translational targeting of proteins to membranes.
Source: Ensembl